CUAGGCACACACCAUAGGCUUCUGACAAUACAGCAGAAAAAGCAGCCAGCACAGCAAAUGGGUGCACAGCCAGAAAAAAGAAGUGACAAGACAAUUCGGUGUUAAUAAGGCUUCAAGCUGGAUUCCCCAAUAAUAUGGCUUUGUGGCCAGCUUUAUGGAAUACACUGGUAAUGCAAGAAAAAUGUACUUGAAGCAGGGGUAAAGGCAUCUUACUACAAGAAGAAAAAAGAUUAUUAAGAUCUUCAGGAGAGGUCUGCCUGCGGCUGCUCCCAACUCAUCUCAUGGCAACUCAGGGUCGGCCCUUUUCUAUAGCUGCCCCAAGACUCUGGAACCAACUCCCUGUUGUUGUAAGAGCUUCCCCAUCUCUAGAAGGUUUUAAAAGAGUGCUCAAGAAACAUUUGUUCCAUCAAGCCUUCGAUCAGUUGUAAGUUGUGUUUUUAUGGUUGCUGUUAUUCUUGUUGAUUGGCUGUUUUUAACUUUAAAAAAAAAUUAAAAUAAUGUUUUAAU
Molecule: long non-coding RNA, 507 nt
Organism: Hemicordylus capensis (graceful crag lizard)
Lineage: Eukaryota; Metazoa; Chordata; Lepidosauria; Squamata; Cordylidae
Exons: 3
Source: RefSeq, a predicted model, not a curated record